CACAUGACUCUCGGCAACGGAUAUCUCGGCUCUCGCAUCGAUGAAGAACGUAGCGAAAUGCGAUACCUGGUGUGAAUUGCAGAAUCCCGCGAACCAUCGAGUCUUUGAACGCAAGUUGCGCCCGAGGCCACCUGGCUGAGGGCACGCCUGCCUGGGCGUCACGC
Molecule: ribosomal RNA, 164 nt
Filed under: Alopecurus aequalis
Lineage: Eukaryota; Viridiplantae; Streptophyta; Magnoliopsida; Poales; Poaceae
Also listed under: 1 other name
Description: 5.8S ribosomal RNA
Rfam family: 5.8S ribosomal RNA
About the family: 5.8S ribosomal RNA (5.8S rRNA) is a component of the large subunit of the eukaryotic ribosome. It is transcribed by RNA polymerase I as part of the 45S precursor that also contains 18S and 28S rRNA. Functionally, it is thought that 5.8S rRNA may be involved in ribosome translocation.
Source: RNAcentral